GUCUAGUACUCAGAGUUUGAUCCUGGCUCAGGACGAACGCUGGCGGCGUGCUUAACACAUGCAAGUCGAACGGAGUUACGUUUUCGGAUGUAACUUAGUGGCGAACGGGUGAGUAACGCGUGAGGAACCUGCCUCUCAGUGGGGGACAACAGUUGGAAACGACUGCUAAUACCGCAUAAUGCUAUUGACCGGCAUCCCUUUGGUACCAAAGAUUUAUCGCUGAAAGAUGGCCUCGCGUCUGAUUAGAUAGUUGGUGGGGUAACGGCCUACCAAGUCUGCGAUCAGUAGCCGGACUGAGAGGUUGAUCGGCCACAUUGGGACUGAGAUACGGCCCAG
RNAcentral lists this ribosomal RNA (336 nucleotides) under uncultured bacterium. RNAcentral describes it as "bacterial SSU rRNA". It matches the Rfam family "Bacterial small subunit ribosomal RNA", at positions 1 to 334 of the family's 1533-position model. The record is from RNAcentral.